RNAcentral lists this ribosomal RNA (496 nucleotides) under uncultured bacterium. RNAcentral describes it as "partial 16S ribosomal RNA". It matches the Rfam family "Bacterial small subunit ribosomal RNA", at positions 28 to 506 of the family's 1533-position model. The record is from RNAcentral.
GAUGAGCGCUGGCGGCGUGCCUAAUACAUGCAAGUCGAGCGAACAGACGAGGAGCUUGCUCCUCUGACGUUAGCGGCGGACGGGUGAGUAACACGUGGAUAACCUACCUAUAAGACUGGGAUAACUUCGGGAAACCGGAGCUAAUACCGGAUAAUAUAUUGAACCGCAUGGUUCAAUAGUGAAAGACGGUUUUGCUGUCACUUAUAGGUGGAUCCGCGCCGCAUUAGCUAGUUGGUAAGGUAACGGCUUACCAAGGCAACGAUGCGUAGCCGACCUGAGAGGGGGAUCGGCCACACUGGACAUGAGACACGGCCCAGACCCCUAGGGGAGGCAGCAGUAGGGAAUCUUCCGCAAUGGGCGAAAGCCUGACGGAGCAACGCCGCGGGGGGGAUGAAGGUCUUCGGAUCGUAAAACUUUUUUAUUGGGGAAGAAAAAAUGUGUAAGUAACUAUGCACGUCUUAACGGUACCUAAUCAGAAAGCCACGGCGAACUACGU